This 253-nucleotide ribosomal RNA is filed under the name uncultured bacterium. Its description in RNAcentral is "partial 16S ribosomal RNA". It matches the Rfam family "Bacterial small subunit ribosomal RNA", at positions 524 to 776 of the family's 1533-position model. The record is from RNAcentral.
UACGUAGGGUGCGAGCGUUAAUCGGAAUUACUGGGCGUAAAGUGUGCGCAGGCGGCGUUGCGAGUCGAGUGUGAAAUCCCCGAGCUUAACUUGGGAAUUGCGCUCGAAACUACGAUGCUCGAGUGUGGCAGAGGAAGGUGGAAUUCCACGUGUAGCGGUGAAAUGCGUAGAGAUGUGGAGGAACACCGGUGGCGAAGGCGGCAUCCUGGACCAACACUGACACUGAGGAGCGAAAGCCAGGGGAGCAAACGGG